RNAcentral lists this non-coding RNA (29 nucleotides) under Rattus norvegicus (Norway rat). Lineage: Eukaryota; Metazoa; Chordata; Mammalia; Rodentia; Muridae. The record is from RNAcentral.
UCAAUUACUUGUACAUGAUGUUGUGGUGG